GAUGAACGCUGGCGGCGUGCUUAACACAUGCAAGUCGAACGGAAAGGCUCCUGCCUGCAGGGGUACUCGAGUGGCGAACGGGUGAGUAACACGUGGGUAAUCUGCCCUGUACUUCGGGAUAAGCUUGGGAAACUGGGUCUAAUACCGGAUAUGACAAUCUCUUGGAUGGGGUUGUGGAAAGCUUUUGCGGUAUGGGAUGAGCUCGCGGCCUAUCAGCUUGUUGGUGGGGUAAUGGCCUACCAAGGCGUCGACGGGUAGCCGGCCUGAGAGGGUGUACGGCCACAUUGGGACUGAGAUACGGCCCAGACUCCUACGGGAGGCAGCAGUGGGGAAUAUUGCACAAUGGGCGCAAGCCUGAUGCAGCGACGCCGCGUGGGGGAUGACGGCCUUCGGGUUGUAAACUCCUUUCGCAACCGACGAAGCUUUUGUGACGGUAGGUUGAGAAGAAGCACCGGCUAACUACGUG
This 466-nucleotide ribosomal RNA is filed under the name uncultured bacterium. Its description in RNAcentral is "partial 16S ribosomal RNA". It matches the Rfam family "Bacterial small subunit ribosomal RNA", at positions 28 to 507 of the family's 1533-position model. The record is from RNAcentral.